Molecule: long non-coding RNA, 1097 nt
Filed under: Fragaria vesca (wild strawberry)
Lineage: Eukaryota; Viridiplantae; Streptophyta; Magnoliopsida; Rosales; Rosaceae
Description: long non-coding RNA (FVES_LNC005020)
Source: RNAcentral
CUCUUCACUGAAGGAGGGCGUGGAGCUCGAUCCAUGACAUCCCUCAGCAUAUUCCCAAUAUCAUCAACCAGUCCCUUGACCUCAUUGCCUUCAUUGGCAUUGGUCGAAGUAGCCACACGGGGUUGCCGUGGGCGCCUAGGAGGCAUAGUACCUGAGGAAGAAGAAAUUUAGUAGUCCAUAAACAAGACUAACACAAUAAUCACAUAUACCCAAUAACACAUAGCAUCAAAAGCAUAAAAUGCCAAUGAAUCCGCCGCGGUCGGAUCAUAACUCUAUAGACACUACAUGCUACUUAGGCAAAUGUGAUAGUGACAAGGAAGCAGGAAAAGGAAACCUAUAGCUCUGAUACCAACUGACACGACCCACCCCGAAUUUCACCCUGAAACCCAGAGUAAGUCGUGCGGGGACCACCUCCAAGGAAAAUUUACUGAAAAAAUUAAGAAAAUCUCCCUUGCAGAUGGACAACCCUAACUCGAAAAUUUCAAAUUACACUCUUAAUUUAUCACUUCUGAACAUCGCAUAAUAUACAAAAAUUCUAAAGUAUUCAGAGCUACUAAACACAAACGGAAGCAAGAAAACACGAGUAGGUUGAACAGGUAACGUACUGGCGAAAACUGGCAGAAAUGCGGGUGACUAUGCCUCGUCUCCUACUAGAUCCAACCCGAACUCUGCAGACUGGGAAAUUUAAAACGAAGGGCCCAGGGGAAAACAUUUAAAAACCGUUAGAGUGAGUGGACAAAAAUAAAAGAAUAAAUAAAAUAUUUAUGUUUCCCCAAAUUAAUUUCUAAGGAAAAAUCGAAUGCAUGCCGCAAGCGAUAAAACUUUUAUCCCAUAAAAUAUCGAGCCUCUCAGACUCUAUAAUAUAUGUAUGUAUUUACACUCGUCCAUACUCCCUAUAUAAAUUCAUGGGUCUAUAUAGGGCUACUACGCUCGCGUCCAACGCUCACGUCACGCCUUAAUGCGGUGCUACACUACGCCAUCAAGGUGGACAGACGGGUGUAUAAAUACGUGUCCAUACCCCUUAUAUGAAUUAAACACUCAAAUAGGGCUACUACGCUUACGUCCAACGCUCACGUCACACCAUAUGCGGCUAUAUG